RNAcentral lists this ribosomal RNA (254 nucleotides) under uncultured bacterium. Its description in RNAcentral is "partial 16S ribosomal RNA". It matches the Rfam family "Bacterial small subunit ribosomal RNA", at positions 524 to 777 of the family's 1533-position model. The record is from RNAcentral.
UACGUAGGGGGCUAGCGUUGUCCGGAAUCAUUGGGCGUAAAGCGCGUGUAGGCGGUCCGGUAAGUCCGCUGUGAAAGUCGGGGGCUCAACCCUCGGAUGCCGGUGGAUACUGUCGGGCUUGAGUACGGAAGAGGCGAGUGGAAUUCCUGGUGUAGCGGUGAAAUGCGCAGAUAUCAGGAGGAACACCAAUUGCGAAGGCAGCUCGCUGGGACGUUACUGACGCUGAGACGCGAAAGCGUGGGGAGCAAACAGGG